Molecule: transfer RNA, 72 nt
Filed under: Camelus bactrianus (Bactrian camel)
Lineage: Eukaryota; Metazoa; Chordata; Mammalia; Artiodactyla; Camelidae
Also listed under: 1 other name
Rfam family: tRNA
About the family: Transfer RNA (tRNA) molecules are approximately 80 nucleotides in length.
Source: Rfam by way of RNAcentral
GGGUGUAUAGCUCAGUGGUAAAGCAUGUGCUUAACAUGCAUGAGGUCCUGUGACCAAUCCCCAGUAUGCCCA